RNAcentral lists this non-coding RNA (352 nucleotides) under Perkinsus marinus ATCC 50983. RNAcentral describes it as "Eukaryotic small subunit ribosomal RNA". It matches the Rfam family "Eukaryotic small subunit ribosomal RNA", at positions 1 to 353 of the family's 1831-position model. Lineage: Eukaryota; Perkinsozoa; Perkinsida; Perkinsidae. The record is from Rfam by way of RNAcentral.
CACCUGGUUGAUCCUGCCAGUAGUCAUAUGCUUGUCUCAAAGAUUAAGCCAUGCAUGUCUAAGUAUAAGCUUUAAACGGCGAAACUGCGAAUGGCUCAUUAAAACAGUUAUAGUUUAUUUGGUGAUCGAUUACUAUUUGGAUAACCGUAGUAAUUCUAGAGCUAAUACAUGCGUCAAGGCCCGACUUCGGAAGGGCUGCGUUUAUUAGAUACAGAACCAACCUAGGCUCCGCCUAGUCCUUGUUGGUGAUUCAUAAUAACCCGGCGAAUCGCACGGCUUGUCCCGGCGAUGGACCAUUCAAGUUUCUGACCUAUCAGCUAUGGACGGUAGGGUAUUGGCCUACCGUGGCGUU